AGAGAGAGACAUGCGCGCAUAUCAAUAAGCGGAGGAAAAGAAACUAACAAGGAUUCCCUAGUAACGGCGAGUGAAGCGGGAAGAGCUCAAAUUUGAAAUCUUAAAGGUUUUCCCUUGACGAAUUGUAGUUUAAAGAAGUGUUUUCUGUUGAAGUUUCGGUAAAAGUUCUUUGGAAUAGGACAUCAUAGAGGGUGAGAAUCCCGUAUUUGACCUUUACUUUCAACUUUGUGAUACACUUUCAAAGAGUCGGAUUGUUUGGGAAUGCAGUCCAAAAUGGGUGGUAAAUUUCAUCUAAAGCUAAAUAUUGGCGAGAGACCGAUAGCGAACAAGUACCGUGAGGGAAAGAUGAAAAGAACUUUGAAAAGAGAGUUAAACAGUACGUGAAAUUGUCAAAAGGGAAGCGUUUGACACCAGUGUUGUUUUUCUGAAAAUCAAUUAAAGAACUGUUUAUGCUAAGUUGUUUAGACUUUAUCAGCUAACUGUUUAGUUUUGAGCUUUUCUUUAAUGCACUUUUCAGUUAACAAGUCAACAUCAAUUUCUUUUGCUGUAAAAAAGCUUGAGGAAGGUGGCUUGAGAUUCGUCUUAAGUGUUUAUAGCCUCUUGCCUAUGCAGUCGGAGAGAUUGAGGUCUGCAGCGUAGAUCCUUCGGGGCUAAAUGCAUUUGUGCUAAGUUAUAGCAUUUUAUAGACAACUUGUUGACUAUGAUUUGUCUUGUAGCUUACUCGCCUAUGUUAUUUUACCUACGCUUAGGAUGUUGAGCGCAUGUCUCUCUCU
Molecule: ribosomal RNA, 773 nt
Filed under: uncultured Neocallimastigales
Lineage: Eukaryota; Fungi; Neocallimastigomycota; Neocallimastigomycetes; Neocallimastigales
Description: partial large subunit ribosomal RNA
Rfam family: Eukaryotic large subunit ribosomal RNA
Source: RNAcentral